GAUAAAUCUGUAUUUUAUUAGCUAUCCUGCAUUUGGGUCUUUUUAGCCUUUGAAGACACCCCGGUACCCUGACAUUGAGUUAUUCUAUCAAUAUAUAUUUUCUGAAUUUACCCUCAAAUGUUUAUCACAAUAAAUCUGUCAUUUUUACACAUUAUUCUUUCUGUGCUGUAGUCAGAGAGUCUAGUUUAGUGACCUGUGUAUGUUUUAGUACUCCAAAAACUGAGGAAGUGUGUGUUUCUGAUUAAAACUGGUCCAUGUGACCAUCAGAAUACAUGUUACAGCUAAUAGACCAAUCAAAUCAGUCCACAGCUUCAAAUCAUCCAAUCAGGUGUGAGUCUGGACCUGGUUUUGUACUGAACACACAAGUUCAUUAGAUCACUUGGUGUGAACAGGAACGAUGAUCAGACUCUUUGUCGCUCUUUGUGCUCUUUUUUCUCUCUUCACAGCUGAGAAAACUUCUGACAUCAAGGAGAUUGAUGUGAUAACAGUAAAGCGUGGAGAAGAUGUAACUAUGGAGUGUAGCACUAACAGUGUCACGAAGAAAGAUAUUAUAGUUUGGUACAGACAGAUUUCAGGACAAUUACCUCAGUAUUUUGCAAAACCAUACAAGAGCGAAUUGGGCUACAAAUUUGCUCCAGGAUUUAAUGAUGAUCGCUUCAGUAUUAGUGUAAAUAACAAUAAAUUUGAGCUCAAUGUUAACAAAACAAGAGAAGAUGAUGAAGGAGAAUAUUUCUGUGGAGAAAUGGAAGGAACUGUACUGAAGUUCACAUCUGGAACACGUCUGCAAUUUGAAGGUGAGAGCUGUACUGCUAACAUGCGUGUGUUCUUCUGGCUCUCCAUUUCAAGAAUUGGAGUUCUCAGUGUUACAGUUAUUAUAAUUACAAUAUGGUACAAGGUUUUAAAGUCAAGAUCUUAAACUUGAUAUAAUUGUCUAUUAACUGUUGUUUGUGUCACUCUAACUGUAAUGCAAGUGUGGUAUAUACCUAACUGUAGCUGUAUUUAAAAAGGAAAUGAGAUCUGAGGUUGUGUUUAGACCCCUCUAGGAGAAAGCACAAGUGGUGCAUUUCCUUUUUAUACCAAAAAUGACAGUCCACUGGUGUGUGUGUGUGUGUGUGUGUGUGUGUGUGUGUGUGUGUGUGUGUGUGUGUGUGUGUGUGUGUGUGUGUGUGUGUGUGUGUGUGUGUGUGUGUGUGUGUGUGUGUGUGUGUGUGUAUGUGUGUGUGUGUGUGUGUGUGUGUGUGUGUGUGUGUGUGUAUGUGUGUGUGUGAGAAAGGUUAGAGGCUGAAACAGAAACUAGUUAAAUUCUGAAGCUAACUGCGAGUCGUACAAUGUGUAUGUAGUAGCAGAUAGAUUACACUGAUGGUUUUUAGUUCUCUUUCUCACUGUCACAUCCUCUGCUUAACAAAAUGUCAGCUUAUAAUUUACAGAUAUGAUUCUAGAGAAGUGUAAGAAAGACAACUGAGAAUAGAAUGAAAAGAGUAGAGUAGAAUGAAAAGCUUACAGAUAAACAGUAGAUAUAUUUAAAAGACAGACUUUACUGAAAGUAUCGUAACCAGUAACAGAAGAAAAAUCACACCGUGUGCUGUUUAUUAGUUAUAUGAAGAAAAGUAAGAGUGCCACCUCGUCUGAAUGAUCUACCUUUAAAUCCCACAUCUUGGUUUUAUGUAAUGUCAAAGCUAAAACAAAUAUAAAACAUUUCACCUAUUUUAUUUUUAUUUGGUUUUUAGUAAAUAACGAAUUCUGUUCAGAAGUAUUGUGUUGUAAAGACACGAGUACAAGUGUGUUUUGUAUGAGAUUAUGCUUACGUGUGUGUGUGUGUGUGUGUGUGUGUGUGUGUGUGUGUGUGUGUGUGUGUGUGUGUGUGUGUGUGUGUGUGUCAGCCUGGGAAAAC
This is a non-coding RNA of Tachysurus fulvidraco (yellow catfish), 1891 nucleotides long. The record is from the annotation of a RefSeq genome assembly. NCBI's taxonomy places the organism in Eukaryota, Metazoa, Chordata, Actinopteri, Siluriformes, Bagridae.